GGCUGGGUAGCUCAGGUGGUUAGAGCGAGGGUCUCAUAAUCCCUAGGUCGACAGUUCGAGUCUGUCUCCAGCCACCA
RNAcentral lists this transfer RNA (77 nucleotides) under Acidobacteria bacterium ADurb.Bin340. RNAcentral describes it as "tRNA-Met". It matches the Rfam family "tRNA". Rfam says of the family: Transfer RNA (tRNA) molecules are approximately 80 nucleotides in length. Their secondary structure includes four short double-helical elements and three loops (D, anti-codon, and T loops). The record is from RNAcentral. RNAcentral also lists the same sequence under 3 other names. Lineage: Bacteria; Pseudomonadati; Acidobacteriota.